GUCUUUGCAUCGGAACUAAACACAUUAUUUUUUUUUUUUUUUUUUUUUUUUAAACAGUUGUUGGCAUGACACGGGUUAUGUUCUUCUCAUAUAUGUUAUGAUGGUAUGAUACUAAACCCCUAACGGGAAGGAUUGUGCCUGAUGUUCAUAUGAUGAAAUCAUAAUCUUUCAGUCAGUUUAAUUGAAGUCUGGAGCUGGCAUGUCAGUUAACUGCUAGUAGUCUGUUGUUAUUUAUGUAUUAUUGUCAUUUUGUUUAUUUUCUUUGGUUACAUCUUCUGACAUCAGACUCGGAUUUCUCUUGAACUGAAUUUUAAUGUGCGUAUUGUUAUGCGUUUACUUUACUACAUUGGUUAGAGGUAUAGGGGGAGGGUUGAGAUCUCACAAACAUGUUUAACCCAGCCGCAUUUUUGCGCCUGUCCCAAGUCAGGAGCCUCUGGCCUUUGUUAGUCUUGUAUUAUUUUAAUUUUAGUUUCUUGUGUACAAUUUGGAAAUUAGUAUGGCGUUCAUUAUCACUGGACUAGUAUAUAUUUGUUUAGGGGCCAGCUGAAGGACGCCUCCGGGUGCGGGAAUUUCUCGCUACAUUGAAGACCUGUUGGUGACCCUCUGCUGUUGUUUUUUAUUUGGUCGGGUUGUUGUCUCUUUGACACAUUCCCCAUUUCCAUUCUCAAUUUUAUGUCCAUAGUACACGGAUGCCCCACUCGCACUAUCAUUUUCUAUAUUCAGUGGAUCAUGAAAUUGGGGUAAAAACUUUAAUUUGGAAUUAAAAUCAUAUCAUAGGAAACAUGUGUACUAAGUUUUAAGUUGAUGUAACUUUAACUUCAUCAAAAACUACCUUGACCAAAAACUUUAACCUGAACUUCGCAUUAUCAUUUUCUAUGUUCAGUGGACCAUGAAAUUGGGGUCAAAACUAUCAUUUGACAUUAAAAUUAGAAAGAUCAUAUCAUGGGGAACAUGUGUACUAAGUUUCAAGUUGAUUGGACUUCAGCUUCAUCAAAAACUACCUUGACCAAAAACUUUAACCUGAAGCGAAAGGACGCAUGGACGGACGAAGGAAUGGAGGCACAGACCAGAAAACAUAAUGCCCCUCUAUUAUUGUAGGUGGGGCAUAAAAACCACAAAAUUUCCUUUAAAUACCAAUUGGGGGGCAGCAUCCCAACAACCGGUUGUCCAAUUCAUCUGAAAAUUCCAGAGCAGAUAGAUCAUCACUUGAUAAACAAUUUUACCACAUGUCAGAUUUGCUCUAAAUGCUUUGAUUUCAGAGUUAUAAACCAAAAUCUACAUUUUACCCCUAUGCUCUUUUUUUAGGCAUGGUGGCCAUCUUGGUUGGUUGGCCUGAUCACCGGACACUUUUUUUAAACUAGAUACCCUAAUGAUGAUUGUGGCCAAGUUUGGUUAAAUUUGGCCCAAAUAGUUUUACAGGGGAAGAUUUUUGUAAAAGUUAACGACGACGGACGCCAAGUGAUGAGAAAAGCUCACUUGGGCCAGGUGAGCUAAAAAUAACAAUGCCA
This 1508-nucleotide long non-coding RNA is filed under the name Mytilus galloprovincialis (Mediterranean mussel). Lineage: Eukaryota; Metazoa; Mollusca; Bivalvia; Mytilida; Mytilidae. The record is from RNAcentral.